This is a long non-coding RNA of Gasterosteus aculeatus aculeatus (three-spined stickleback), 393 nucleotides long. The record is from Ensembl. NCBI's taxonomy places the organism in Eukaryota, Metazoa, Chordata, Actinopteri, Perciformes, Gasterosteidae.
GUUUUUCUCCCUUCAUCCGCUCAGCUUGGAGUUCGUCCUGUGCUGCUUUCAGGGCCGCUGCAAUGCCGAUUUUCUCCGCUGUCCAAUUGUUCAUCUGGGUGUUAUGGAAGGCUUGGAAUCGUUCCCUCAUUUGGAUUGCUGACCCCUCCUGGUUUUUAAGAGCUUCUGCCAACUUUGUCAAUUCAAUGCGAAGCUUCUCUGUUUGAGCCCUCUCAAUUUCCAGUUGACUUUCCAAUUCAAUCUCUGUGUUAGUUUUAGCCAGCUUCAUUUCAGCACUGACCUUCAACAUCCAUUCCAGUUGACCCUUCAAUUCCAAGUUCUCCUUAGAGAUAGUCUCUUCAAAAUUAGGCAGAAGCUGUUUUUCUCCCUUCAUUUUCAAGUCUACACACUGGA